RNAcentral lists this ribosomal RNA (407 nucleotides) under uncultured Aeromonas sp. RNAcentral's name for it is "bacterial SSU rRNA". It matches the Rfam family "Bacterial small subunit ribosomal RNA", at positions 335 to 734 of the family's 1533-position model. The record is from RNAcentral. Lineage: Bacteria; Pseudomonadati; Pseudomonadota; Gammaproteobacteria; Aeromonadales; Aeromonadaceae.
ACUCCUACGGGAGGCAGCAGUGGGGAAUAUUGCACAAUGGGGGAAACCCUGAUGCAGCCAUGCCGCGUGUGUGAAGAAGGCCUUCGGGUUGUAAAGCACUUUCAGCGAGGAGGAAAGGUUGGCGCCUAAUACGUGUCAACUGUGACGUUACUCGCAAAAGAAGCACCGGCUAACUCCGUGCCAGCAGCCGCGGUAAUACGGAGGGUGCAAGCGUUAAUCGGAAUUACUGGGCGUAAAGCGCACGCAGGCGGUUGGAUAAGUUAGAUGUGAAAGCCCCGGGCUCAACCUGGGAAUUGCAUUUAAAACUGUCUAGCUAGAGUCUUGUAGAGGGGGGUAGAAUUCCAGGUGUAGCGGUGAAAUGCGUAGAGAUCUGGAGGAAUACCGGUGGCGAAGGCGGCCCCCUGGAC